RNAcentral lists this ribosomal RNA (422 nucleotides) under uncultured Clostridium sp. RNAcentral's name for it is "bacterial SSU rRNA". It matches the Rfam family "Bacterial small subunit ribosomal RNA", at positions 355 to 794 of the family's 1533-position model. Lineage: Bacteria; Bacillati; Bacillota; Clostridia; Eubacteriales; Clostridiaceae. The record is from RNAcentral.
UGGGGGAUAUUGCACAAUGGGGGAAACCCUGAUGCAGCAACGCCGCGUGAGGGAAGAAGGUUUUCGGAUUGUAAACCUCUGUCCUCAGGGAAGAUAAUGACGGUACCUGAGGAGGAAGCUCCGGCUAACUACGUGCCAGCAGCCGCGGUAAUACGUAGGGAGCAAGCGUUGUCCGGAUUUACUGGGUGUAAAGGGUGCGUAGGCGGGAUAUCAAGUCAGACGUGAAAUCCAUCGGCUUAACUGAUGAACUGCGUUUGAAACUGGUAUUCUUGAGUGAGUCAGAGGCAGGCGGAAUUCCCGGUGUAGCGGUGAAAUGCGUAGAGAUCGGGAGGAACACCAGUGGCGAAGGCGGCCUGCUGGGGCUUAACUGACGCUGAGGCACGAAAGCGUGGGGAGCAAACAGGAUUAGAUACCCUGGUAGU